AUCACUAGCUAGCCGUAGUUCAGCAUUAGCAUAUAGCAUUAGCAUAUCCUAGUCUUUAGCAUAGCUUUUAGUGUUAUACAUACUUAUUUAGUGUUAGCUUGGCUGUUGGAUAUUGUAGUUUAGUUACUGUUUGGCUGUUAGUGUAAUUAGGAAAGUAGUUCGGGUUUAGUGCUCCAUAUCGUGUUAGCAUGGUGAGAUGGUGUAGUGUAGUAUGGUUGCGGAGCUCUGUCGGGUUGCACUCCUUUCCGCUGGACUUAGAAAUUAGGCGCCAGUGGUUGCGUGUCUGGAAAAGAUUCAGCUCCCGCCUGGUGCUGUAGUUUGCAACCAGCAUUUUACCCGCGAUUCUGCAGUCUCCGUUCCAAGAGGGAGGUUGUGCCCACCGUGGCUCUUCCGCGAUUUAGAUACAGACCACCGACUCUGCUCCCCCACCAUGACGGGCUACAGUCUGAGGCUAAAUCUACCCAAGACACUGGCUGUCAGACUGAUUUAGUAAUCUGCAAGAAUGCACUUGUCCAGGCUGACGUGAAGCCUUGCCCGUAGCAAAGAGCUCACAGCCUCAGUGUCUUGUGACACAGGGACCAUGACAGAAAUUCAUCUUCCAGAAGGUCCCAGAGCAUCCACACCCCCUGAAAAGACCACGUGUGAGGUGUCUGCUGUUGAUUCCAGCUUCCACCUCAGUGACAGUGCAAGCUCAGUGAACUGUUCAAGGAGGCUACUGAUUCUGGCCCUGUGACACUUGGUGGUCACCACCAGGUGGUGACGUGUGAGCUGAUUCACCUGGACACUCAGCAAAAUAUGGACUCUACACCAUGAGGCAGGCACACGUUAAUAACUCUAUAAGAGCACAUAAGCCUGGCUGAUCACCUGAUAACUCAUGUUAUCUGGUUAUGACAGCAUGAGGAUGUCCUCACACACCUGUAACCUACCAGCUCAUCUGGCAGAAUAGAGAGAGAAGAGACAACACCACAUCUCCUGUUCCUGGAAAGCCUUCAGCCAUCCUUCGAUGACUGAGAACCUCCAUCAGCUCUGUCUCCUGUCUGCCUACAAUUAUUAUAAUAAAUAUUGUGUUUGACAAGUU
This is a non-coding RNA of Nothobranchius furzeri (turquoise killifish), 1078 nucleotides long. Lineage: Eukaryota; Metazoa; Chordata; Actinopteri; Cyprinodontiformes; Nothobranchiidae. The record is from RefSeq and is a predicted model, not a curated record.